This 1755-nucleotide unclassified non-coding RNA is filed under the name Gigantopelta aegis. RNAcentral describes it as "nHL repeat-containing protein 2-like, transcript variant X4". Lineage: Eukaryota; Metazoa; Mollusca; Gastropoda; Neomphalida; Peltospiridae. The record is from RNAcentral.
AUUGGCUGAAUGUGACGGAACCUCUCUCCUUGUCCAAUCAUCUUGAGGGAAAACUGUUGGUGCUGGAUUUCUUUACGUACUGCUGUAUUAACUGCAUGCAUGUGUUACCUCAUCUGGAAGAACUCGAAAACAAACACACCAUUCAGGAUGGUCUGGUUGUGAUAGGAGUCCAUUCAGCCAAGUUUCUCAGUGAAAAGUCAACGAGUAAUAUUUUAAGUGCUCUUUUGCGGUAUGACAUAAAACACCCUGUCGUCAAUGAUUCAGAAGCUUUGCUGUGGCAACAAUUGCAGAUUAACUGUUGGCCAACAUUUGUAAUUGUAGCCCCCAAUAAAGAGUUUUUGUUCACCGUUGCUGGAGAGAAAAGCAAGGAUCUUUUGUUUGAAUUUGUCGAGGUUUCGCUGGAAUAUUUCAGGGAAAAGAAGGAAAUACAAUCUCAUAGUAUUCCCCUGUUUUUGGAAAAGGACAAGAGAGAAAUAUCUCCAUUGCAGUUUCCAGGAAAAGUUUCAGUCACAGAUCGUGAUGACUUGGUUAUAUCGAACACAGGAAACCAUAGCAUCCUGAUUGUCACCUACAAUGGUGUUGUCAAGGAGAAGAUUGGUGGUGUGAAAGGUUAUCGUGAUGGACAUUUCCAGGAAGCCAGGUUUUCAUCUCCUCAAGGCACAGCUUCACUGGGGAGUCUUAUAUUUGUAGCAGACACAGACAACCAUGCAAUAAGACGAAUUGACCUUGUUGAACAAAGAGUGGACACGAUAGUUGGUACAGGAUGUCAGGGUUAUGACACGGAGGGUGGUAAGACUGGAACUUGUCAGGAGAUUUCAUCGCCCUGGGAUCUUGUCAUAGGAACAUCGCCACAUUCAGAAGAGCCUGAUGUUCUCUACAUUGCUAUGGCUGGAAGUCACCAGAUCUGGGUGUAUUUCUUCAAAGAUGUUACUUGGUACAAAAACCAACAGUUCAAAGCUAAGACUUGCGUCCGGUUUGCUGGUUCUGGUAAUGAGGAGAAUCGAAACAACAGUUACCCACAGAAAGCAGCAUUUGCACAGCCGUCUGGGCUUGCGCUGUCGCCCAGGGGGAAUCUCAACAUGCUAUACAUCGCCGAUGCCGAGAGUUCCAGCGUGCGACAGAUCUCACUGAAGGACGGAAUGGUGAAGGCUUUGGUUGGAGGAGAGCGAGACCCUCGGAAUUUGUUUGCAUUUGGAGACCAGGAUGGAGUUGGUGUGGAAGCCAGGUUACAACAUCCACUGGGUGUGGCUCUGGUCACUGAGGGAGGUCAUCUAAUCGUAGCAGAUUCUUACAACAAUAAGAUUAAAUCUGUUGAUCUGAAAACCAAAGUGUGCACCACUGUGAUUGGUUGUGGGUUGCCAGGUAACCACUUGAGUGACAACCACUUGGAGGUGAAGCUGAAUGAGCCGGGUGGAGUUUGUGUCAAUCAAAGAAAGCAGCUCGCCUACAUUGCAGACACCAACAACCACUCCAUUAAAGUGUUAAGUCUCACUGCACACACACUGAAAGAGAGUCAAGUUGCAUUUUCCUCGGGUGCUGUUGGGCGAAUAAUGUUGCAACCUCGUUGACAUCGAUAUCUUGGUCAUAAUGAAUCGUUUGGAGUGCCAAACAUAGAAGCAUGCAUCUUCCAAUAAUAUUUCCAAGUGCUACUAAACACCAGAAAGCUCCAGCUUCUUCCGAGUCUGCUGUAAUUCCCGAUCGUGUUCUCGAGCCAGUGAGCAUCAAUUCUAGAUGUGAGGUUCAAGUUGAACUCAC